UAGGGUGAGGGUUGCAGUAAGGCUGGUACUGAUGUAAUGGCUGUCCCCAGUACCAGACAUGCUGCCUUCCUCCCCCUACA
Molecule: microRNA precursor, 80 nt
Filed under: Eptesicus fuscus (big brown bat)
Lineage: Eukaryota; Metazoa; Chordata; Mammalia; Chiroptera; Vespertilionidae
Description: microRNA efu-mir-9186n precursor
Rfam family: mir-9186 microRNA precursor family
Source: miRBase by way of RNAcentral